AGGCCCGAUGAUGAUGACUGGUGGCCCGUGAGUCAUAGACGAUGAGCACCAUGUGUCUGGAACUCUGAGGUCCUA
Molecule: small nucleolar RNA, 75 nt
Organism: Nannospalax galili (Upper Galilee mountains blind mole rat)
Lineage: Eukaryota; Metazoa; Chordata; Mammalia; Rodentia; Spalacidae
Product: small nucleolar RNA SNORD113/SNORD114 family
Exons: 1
Source: RefSeq, a predicted model, not a curated record